UCAGAUAUAGUCAUAAGGUUGUAUUCAUCGAAUGGAGAGUACUUAAACUUCGCAUUCUAACAUUAGAGAUGCCAGAAAAUAAAAACCUAGUUAGAUAAUCAU
This is a small nuclear RNA of Eremothecium sinecaudum, 102 nucleotides long. The record is from RefSeq and is a predicted model, not a curated record. Lineage: Eukaryota; Fungi; Ascomycota; Saccharomycetes; Saccharomycetales; Saccharomycetaceae.